Molecule: non-coding RNA, 117 nt
Filed under: Pan troglodytes (chimpanzee)
Lineage: Eukaryota; Metazoa; Chordata; Mammalia; Primates; Hominidae
Source: Rfam by way of RNAcentral
GCCGGGCGCGGUGGCUCACGCCUGUAAUCCCAGCACUUUGGGAGGCUGAGGUGGGCGGAUCACCUGAGGUCGGGAGUUCGAGACCAGCCUGACCAACAUGGAGAAACCCCAUCUCUA